CCUACGGGAGGCUGCAGUGGGGAAUAUUGCACAAUGGGGGAAACCCUGAUGCAGCGACGCCGCGUGAGUGAAGAAGUAUUUCGGUAUGUAAAGCUCUAUCAGCAGGGAAGAAAAUGACGGUACCUGAUUAAGAAGCCCCGGCUAACUACGUGCCAGCAGCUGCGGUAAUACGUAGGGGGCAAGCGUUAUCCGGAUUUACUGGGUGUAAAGGGAGCGUAGACGGCAGCACAAGUCUGGAGUGAAAUGCCGGGGCUUAACCCCGGAACUGCUUUGGAAACUGUGCAGCUGGAGUGCAGGAGAGGUAAGUGGAAUUCCUAGUGUAGCGGUGAAAUGCGUAGAUAUUAGGAGGAACACCAGUGGCGAAGGCGGCUUACUGGACUGUAACUGACGUUGAGGCUCGAAAGCGUGGGGAGCAAACAGGAUUAGAUACCCCUGUAGUC
Molecule: ribosomal RNA, 440 nt
Filed under: uncultured bacterium
Lineage: Bacteria
Description: partial 16S ribosomal RNA
Rfam family: Bacterial small subunit ribosomal RNA
Source: RNAcentral